ACAUGCAAGUUCGAACGAUACGGACUUCGGUCCUAUUGUACGAGUGGCGAACGGGUAGUAACACGUGAGAGACCUCGCCUCGGAGAUCGGGACAACCAUUGGAAACGAUGGCUAAUACCGAAUGCCCUCUUUCGGUCGCAUGGCCGAAUGAGGAAAUGAUCCGUCGCUCCGGGAGGGUCUCGCGGCCUAUCAGCUUGUUGGUGAGGUAACGGCUCACCAAGGCAUCGACGGGUAGCUGGUCUGAGAGGACGAUCAGCCACACUGGGACUGAGACACGGCCCAGACUCCUACGGGAGGCAGCAGUAGGGAAUCUUGCACAAUGGGCGAAAGCCUGAUGCAGCGACGCCGCGUGGGGGAUGAAGGCCUUCGGGUUGUAAACUCCUUUCAGUAGGGACGAAAAUGACGGUACCUACAGAAGAAGCUCCGGCCAACUACGUGCCAGCAGCCGCGGUAACACGUAGGGAGCAAGCGUUGUCCGGAUUUAUUGGGCGGAAAGAGCUCGUAGGUGGUUCAGUAAGUCGGAUGUGAAAACUCAGGGCUCAACCCUGAGACGCCAUCCGAUACUGCUGUGACUUGAGUUCGGUAGAGGAGUGUGGAAUUCCUGGUGUAGCGGUGAAAUGCGCAGAUAUCAGGAGGAACACCAACAGCGAAGGCAGCACUCUGGGGCCGAUACUGACACUGAGGAGCGAAAGCAUGGGGAGC
Molecule: ribosomal RNA, 702 nt
Filed under: uncultured bacterium
Lineage: Bacteria
Description: bacterial SSU rRNA
Rfam family: Bacterial small subunit ribosomal RNA
Source: RNAcentral